This 1395-nucleotide ribosomal RNA is filed under the name Triticum aestivum (bread wheat). RNAcentral describes it as "partial small subunit ribosomal RNA". Lineage: Eukaryota; Viridiplantae; Streptophyta; Magnoliopsida; Poales; Poaceae. The record is from RNAcentral.
GAAGAUUACAAUUUCAGAAGUGACGAACUGAUCAGUCUAUGGAUCGGACUAGAUAUUUUGAUACCCAAUGGGCAAGACCAAACAUUUGAAGACAUAGGUCUGAGCAAUUUAAAUGAGUUAGUCACCCAUGGAUUUUUCAGAGAAGAGAAAACUAUGUAUGGUCUGCGUUAUGUUAUGCAUGACCUGCUGCAUGAUUUGGCAUUGAAGGUUGCAUCUCAUGAUUGUCUUAGUUUAAGUCUCCCUGGUGUUGGAUCAGUAGAGAUUCAGCCAACCACCCGUCACUUGUCAAUAAGCACAUAUGGUUUAGGUAUAUAUGAUGCAGUGUCUGGUAAAAAAUUGAAGAGUGAAUUGGAAGAACUAAAGACAAGAUUUAAGGUUGAAGAUUUGCAAACAUUAAUGUUAUUUGGAGAAAUGGAUGAAGGUUUUGUCAAGAUAUUUGGUGAUUUUUUGGGGGAACCGAACACUCUUCGUGUUCUUCAUUUGCCCAAAAUGCUUUGUCCCAUGGAGUUCAUGUUACAUAACUUUUCGGGACUUCUCCACCUACGAUACCUAUGUCUAGGGACAGAUGAGAGCCAGAUGCAUUUACCACUUAGCAUCUCUAAAUUUUAUCAUUUAAGGAUUCUAUAUCUUGAUUUGUGGGAUGGCAGCUGUGAUUUGCCCAAAGACAUGAGCAACCUUGCUAAAUUGUGCCAUUUUUAUGUUCCUAGUGAUGAUCAGCUUCAUUCUGAUAUUUCUAAUGUCGGGAAACUUAAACUCUUAGAAGAGUUGAAGGUAUUUCAAGUCAAUAAAAGAAGUGAAGGGUUUGAAACAAAGCAACUAGAGCACUUGACCAAGCUAAGGGAGCUUGGCAUCUACAACCUUGAGAAGAUAGAUACAGCAGAAGAAGCAACUCAAGCAAAACUGAUGGAGAAAAAUUACUUGAGGAGGUUAACAUUGGACUGGGAUAGUAAGCGAUCUAGUGUUGAGCCUGGUGUGGAAGCAACGGUUCUUGAGGGCCUUCAACCACAUGGAGAUCUUCAAGUGUUGUGCAUUAGAGGGCACGUAGGUCCUUCUUGUCCAACAUGGCUGGGUGAUGAGUUCGCAGUUGAAGGUCUACAAUCUCUUUAUCUGGAUGGUGUUUCUUGGGAACUUUUCCCUUCUUUAGGGAAGGCAUGGGAUCUUCGUGAAUUAAGGUUUGAGCAUAUUGACAGACUGAAGGAGUUUAUCAUAGAGAAAAGCUUUUGCGUGCUAACAAAGCUUAAACUCAUUGGCCUAGGAAGUUUUGAAAAUUGGGUUUACACAGGUGAACAAGAGUCUUCCAUUAGUGGAGAAUUGUUGCCACCGGAUGCUCAUAUGUUCCCUCUUUUGCAAGUUCUGGUUAUUAGAGAGUGCCCGAAACUAUUGGGGUUGCCUUUC